AUACGGAGGACGCGAGCGUUAUCCGGAUUCAUUGGGUUUAAAGGGUGCGCAGGCGGCCGUGCAAGUCAGCGGUGAAAGCCCGGGGCUCAACCCCGGAAGUGCCGUUGAUACUGCAUGGCUGGAAUGCGGUCGAGGCGGGCGGGACGUGGCGUGUAGCGGGGAAAAGCGUAGAUAUGCCACAGAACGCCGAUAGCGGAGGCAGCUCGCCAGGCCUGCAUUGACGCUCGGGCACGAAAGCGUGGGGAUCGAACAGGAUUAGAUACCCUGGUAGUCCACGCCGUAAACGAUGGGCGCUCGUCGUCGGCGGCAGACAGUCGGCGGCCAAGCGAAAGCGAUAAGCGCCCCACCUGGGGAGUACGGUCGCAAGGCUGAAACUCAAAUGAAUUGACGGGG
Molecule: ribosomal RNA, 393 nt
Filed under: uncultured bacterium
Lineage: Bacteria
Description: partial 16S ribosomal RNA
Rfam family: Bacterial small subunit ribosomal RNA
Source: RNAcentral